AGAGUUUGAUUCUGGCUCAGAACGAACGCUGGCGGCGCGUUUAAGCAUGCAAGUCGAGCGGCAAGGGCCUUCGGGCCCUAGAGCGGCGGACGGGUGAGUAACACGUGGACAAUCUGCCCCCGGCCCGGGAUAGCCCAGGGAAACCUGGAUUAAUACCGGAUGAGACGGGACCCGCGAUGGCGGGAUCCGGGAAAGGCGCUGCGGCGCCGCCGGGGGAUGAGUCUGCGUCCCAUUAGCUAGACGGCGGGGUAACGGCCCACCGUGGCGACGAUGGGUAGCCGGCCUGAGAGGGUGGACGGCCACAUUGGAACUGAGACACGGUCCAGACUCCUACGGGAGGCAGCAGCUAAGAAUCUUCCGCAAUGGGCGAAAGCCUGACGGAGCCGACGCCGCGUGAACGAAGAAGGCCGUGAGGUUGUAAAGUUCUUUUCGGGAGGGGGAACAACCGUGGCAGGGAAUGGCCGCGGGAUGACGUGAAUCCCGGAAUAAGCCCCGGCUAACUACGUGCCAGCCGCCGC
RNAcentral lists this ribosomal RNA (518 nucleotides) under uncultured bacterium. Its description in RNAcentral is "bacterial SSU rRNA". It matches the Rfam family "Bacterial small subunit ribosomal RNA", at positions 8 to 518 of the family's 1533-position model. The record is from RNAcentral.